Molecule: non-coding RNA, 1728 nt
Organism: Chiloscyllium plagiosum (whitespotted bambooshark)
Lineage: Eukaryota; Metazoa; Chordata; Chondrichthyes; Orectolobiformes; Hemiscylliidae
Source: RefSeq, a predicted model, not a curated record
AGAAAUGUGGUCAAAUGCCUUGCCUGUGAUGACCCACAACCAGGGUUUGUCGUGGGGUUAAUCUUCCAGAAAUCUUUGGAUUCUGGAAACUUUCCCAAGGAUGUUGGAAGGUAGCAAACAUAAUCCCACUACUUGGUAUUAAAAGAAAAGGAGGAACUUCAGGCCAUUUAGUCAAACAUUAGGGGGAGAUAAAAUGGUAGAAUCUAUUAUGGGAUCACCGGGCAUUUAAAAAGGACGACAAAGAAAGAUUUCUUCAACAUUUCUUAAAAUUAUUAAAAAAUCAUCACAUGUUUGAACAAAGUUGAUAUUUUUCUGAAAGAAAAAUAGUGUAGCUCAUUUUCAUGACCUAGACUCAUAAACAUGGAAUGGUUGCAGCAGAGCUGGAGGCCACUCCAGCUCAUUGCUGUCCACACCAGUUCUAUGUGAAAGCAAAUUCCCUUACCCCAAUAUCCCAUCUUCUUUCCUAUCGCUCUGCAAAUGUGUAAUUAUCCUUUUGAAAGCCACUCUCAGGUAAGUGUAUUCCAGAUCAUAAUUCAUCACUAUGUUUAAAAAAACACUUUCCUCUUAUCACCUCUUUAUUUUGCCAGUCUCUUUAAAUUAGGAUCCUCUAGUUUUUAACCCUUCUACCAAUGGGAAGAAUUCUUUCCACCUACUCUAUAUAAACCCUUCAUGAUUUCGAGCACCUCAAAUAAAUUUCCUCUAAACCUUCUGUUCUCCAUAGAGAACAUCUUCAGCUUUGACAAUCUAUUCAGUUACUGAAGCCCCUUAUGCCCAAAUCAUUACUGUAAAUCUUGUCUGUACCCUCUCCUAUGUCUUUACAUUGUUUCAAAAGUACAGCAACCAGACUUACACACAGCACUCUAAUUGGGGCUUAACCAAUAUUUUGUAAAGGUUGACCAUAACUUGCAGUUGAAAUCUGUGUUAUUAAUGUCAGGUCGUUCUGCUAGAAUGUGUGUUUUGGUAACACAAAUUCGUUACAACACAAUUGACAAAUUGGAGGCAUUGUUCUAAAGCACCAAGUUUUAAAGUGUGUAUUGGUUAUAAUGCAUUUCCGCUCUUAAGUGGUGCUGCAAUAACGCGAUUUUCAUAUAAUACUGAAUUGCACGAGAAUGGAACUACCAUGUUAUAGCAGAACUGACUGUAAUUUCUCAACCUGCCCUGCCAGCUUUAAUGAUUAUGUGUAGAAAACCCAGGCGCCCCUACUCAUGCAAAGGGAUUGCUACUUUAUUGCCUUUCUCAUCCCCCCCCCCUGCAAAAAUGUAUCACUUUGUUUCUUCUUUUUAAAUUUUGGGUUUUACAUGCCACGCUUUCCAUCAGCAUGUCAAAGAUGCCAUUACUAUCCUUCCAGUUCACUUUGCUGUUUAAAUUUUUUGAUGAUGUAACUACUAAGGCGAAUAAGGGGGAUCCAAUGGAUGAAGGGUACUUUGGAUUUUCAAGAAGCAUUCCCAGUUGGAUAACCUUUCUUCAGAGGAACAUCCAAAUCUAAUAGGACUGCAAGAGCUGGAGGCAACUGAGGCUCAAAAUGUCAAGGAUCUGCUACACAUUUUGGGUUAUACUUGCCCAAAUGAGGAUGGCUCUUCAGAAAAUAAAGAUGCUGCAAGAUCUGAGCUAUUUACAGCUGCAUUCUACCUUUUUAGUGCUUUGGAUGCUUUGUCUGAAGAAAGUCUUGCAGUUUUGGGUAUUUGCUGCGAAAUUCAAAUUCUUCCAACAUUGCUUUAUUUGGUAAGU